UGGGGAAUAUUGCGCAAUGGGGGGAACCCUGACGCAGCAACGCCGCGUGAUUGAAGAAGGCCUUCGGGUUGUAAAGAUCUUUAAUCGGGGACGAAACAUGACGGUACCCGAGGAAUAAGCUCCGGCUAACUACGUGCCAGCAGCCGCGGUAAUACGUAGGGAGCAAGCGUUAUCCGGAUUUACUGGGUGUAAAGGGCGUGUAGGCGGGCCUGCAAGUCAGAAGUGAAAUCUGGGGGCUUAACCCCCAAACUGCUUUUGAAACUGCGGGUCUUGAGUGAUGGAGAGGCAGGCGGAAUUCCCAGU
This 303-nucleotide ribosomal RNA is filed under the name uncultured bacterium. RNAcentral's name for it is "bacterial SSU rRNA". It matches the Rfam family "Bacterial small subunit ribosomal RNA", at positions 355 to 674 of the family's 1533-position model. The record is from RNAcentral.